UAGGGAAUCUUCCGCAAUGGGCGAAAGCCUGACGGAGCAACGCCGCGUGAGUGAUGAAGGUCUUCGGAUCGUAAAACUCUGUUAUUAGGGAAGAACAAAUGUGUAAGUAACUAUGCACGUCUUGACGGUACCUAAUCAGAAAGCCACGGCUAACUACGUGCCAGCAGCCGCGGUAAUACGUAGGUGGCAAGCGUUAUCCGGAAUUAUUGGGCGUAAAGCGCGCGUAGGCGGUUUUUUAAGUCUGAUGUGAAAGACCACGGCUCAACCGUGGAGGGUCAUUGGAAACUGGAAAACUUGAGUGCAGAAGAGGAAAGUGGAAUUCCAUGUGUAGCGGUGAAAUGCGCAGAGAUAUGGAGGAACACCAGUGGCGAAGGCGACUUUCUGGUCUGUAACUGACGCUGAUGUGCGAAAGCGUGGGGAUCAAACAGG
This 429-nucleotide ribosomal RNA is filed under the name Actinomycetes bacterium. RNAcentral describes it as "Actinobacteria bacterium partial 16S ribosomal RNA". It matches the Rfam family "Bacterial small subunit ribosomal RNA", at positions 355 to 776 of the family's 1533-position model. Lineage: Bacteria; Bacillati; Actinomycetota; Actinomycetes. The record is from RNAcentral.